GACAGUGGGGGCAAGCGUUGCUCGGAAUUACUGGGCGUAAAGGGCGCGUAGGCGGGAUGGCAAGUCGGUCGUGAAAUCCCUCGGCUCAACUGAGGAGCGUCGAUCGAAACUGCCGUUCUUGAGGGUUGCAGAGGAGACUGGAAUUCCCGGUGUAGCGGUGAAAUGUGUAGAGAUCGGGAGGAACACCGGUGGCGAAGGCGGGUCUCUGGGCAACUCCUGACGCUGAGGCGCGAAAGCGUGGGGAGCAAACGGG
Molecule: ribosomal RNA, 253 nt
Filed under: uncultured bacterium
Lineage: Bacteria
Description: partial 16S ribosomal RNA
Rfam family: Bacterial small subunit ribosomal RNA
Source: RNAcentral